RNAcentral lists this long non-coding RNA (991 nucleotides) under Triticum aestivum (bread wheat). Its description in RNAcentral is "long non-coding RNA (TAES_LNC002010)". The record is from RNAcentral. Lineage: Eukaryota; Viridiplantae; Streptophyta; Magnoliopsida; Poales; Poaceae.
AUAUUUUCAAACUUGUGUCAUUUUUGAACCUGACCAAAACAAUUUCAAAUAAGGAUAUCUUUGGCAUAGAGGUUUAGGGCAAGGAGCAAGAUUAACAGGGAGAAGAUGAACAUUAUUUGAGGAAGAAAAAUAGCACUUGAAUAAGAGAGGGAAAAGGAGGAGAAGUGAGGGUGCCAUGGUUGGAAGGGGGGGGACAAGGUUAUGCCCAUGAUGCUCAUGGAAACAACAUGAAUGACAAUAUGCAACAUGAGAUGACAUGAGAUGAAGAUGCACUACAUAAAGAGGAUGAGUGCAAAAUGACAAGAGGCACAAAUGCAAUAUGGUAAGAUGAGCAUGACAAAGAAAAGAAUAAAACCACAUAACCAAACAAGAUGAGGCCAAACAUGAUAAAACCCACAAGAAUUUGGAUGAAGGUCAAGUUGAUACAUUGCCAAAAUGGGACAUGAUACAUCUGGGGUGUUACAACUCUCCUCCACUACAAGAGGAUCUCGUCCCGUGAUCUAGGACUGAAAGAACUCCGGAUAUUCGGAACGUAGGUGAUCCUCGCGCUCCCAGGUGGCUUCUCGGUCAGAAUGGUGUGACCACUUUACUUUCAGGAAUUUGAUUGACUUGUUGCGAGUCUUGCGCUCGGUUUCUUCAAGAAUAGCAACGGGGUGCUCAUGAUAAGAAAGAUCUUGUUGGAGGUCAAUUUCUUCAAAGUUGAUAGUGCGCUCAGGAAUCUUGAAGCACUUGCGGAGCUGUGACACGUGAAACACAUCGUGCACGUUUGCAAAGUUGGAUGGAAGCUCAAGUUGAUAGGCGAGAUCGCCUCUUUUGCCAAUGAUCUUGAAAGGACCCACGUAUCUAGGGGCAAGCUUCCCUUUGAUACCGAAGCAACGAGUACCUUUCAUUGGAGAGACGCGGAGGUAGACAUGGUCUCCGAUUUCAAAAGCCACAUCACGGUGCUUGUCAUCAUAAUAGCCCUUCUGGCGCGAUUGCGCGGCUUUAAGAU